AUUAUCAAAUUUUCAACUUGAGAGUUUGAUCCUGGCUCAGAACGAACGCUGGCGGCAGGCUUAACACAUGCAAGUCGAGCGCCCCGCAAGGGGAGCGGCAGACGGGUGAGUAACGCGUGGGAACGUACCAUUUGCUACGGAAUAACUCAGGGAAACUUGUGCUAAUACCGUAUGAGCCCGAAAGGGGA
RNAcentral lists this ribosomal RNA (188 nucleotides) under Brucella intermedia. Its description in RNAcentral is "partial 16S ribosomal RNA". It matches the Rfam family "Bacterial small subunit ribosomal RNA", at positions 1 to 203 of the family's 1533-position model. Lineage: Bacteria; Pseudomonadati; Pseudomonadota; Alphaproteobacteria; Hyphomicrobiales; Brucellaceae. The record is from RNAcentral.